UUUCCGGUUGAUCCUGCCGGAGGCCACUGCUAUCGGGGUUCGAUUAAGCCAUGCGAGUCGAGAGGGUUUAGACCCUCGGCGGACUGCUCAGUAACACGUGGAUAACCUGCCCUAAGGUGGAGGAUAACCCCGGGAAACUGGGGAUAAUACUCCAUAGAUUAGAGAUACUGGAAUGUUCUUUAGUCAAAAGUUCCGGCGCCUUAGGAUGGAUCUGCGGUCGAUUAGGUUGUUGUUGGGGUAACGGCCCAACAAGCCUGUAAUCGAUACGGGUUGUGGGAGCAAUAGCCCGGAGAUGGAAUCUGAGACAAGAUUCCAGGCCCUACGGGGCGCAGCAGGCGCGAAAACUUUACAAUGCAGGAAACUGUGAUAAGGGAACCCCGAGUGCCCGUAUACGCGGGCUGUCCAGGUGUUUAAAAGUCAUCUGAAGAAAGGGCCGGGCAAGACCGGUGCCAGCCGCCGCGGUAAUACCGGCGGCUCGAGUGGUGGCCACUAUUAUUGGGCUUAAAGCGUCCGUAGCUGGACUGAUAAGUCUCUUGGGAAAUCCGCCGGCUCAACCGGCGGGCGUCUAAGGGAUACUGUUGGUCUAGGGACCGGGAGAGGUGAGAGGUACUCCGGGGGUAGGAGUGAAAUCCUGUAAUCCCCGGGGGACCACCGAUGGCGAAGGCAUCUCACCAGAACGGCUCCGACAGUGAGGGACGAAAGCUGGGGGAGCAAACCGGAUUAGAUACCCGGGUAGUCCCAGCCGUAAACUAUGCGCGUUAGGUGUGCUGGUGACCACGUGUCACCGGG
Molecule: ribosomal RNA, 789 nt
Filed under: uncultured Methanogenium sp.
Lineage: Archaea; Methanobacteriati; Methanobacteriota; Methanomicrobia; Methanomicrobiales; Methanomicrobiaceae
Description: bacterial SSU rRNA
Rfam family: Archaeal small subunit ribosomal RNA
Source: RNAcentral